This is an unclassified non-coding RNA of Pongo abelii (Sumatran orangutan), 148 nucleotides long. It matches the Rfam family "Metazoan signal recognition particle RNA". From Rfam's summary of the family: The signal recognition particle (SRP) is a universally conserved ribonucleoprotein. It is involved in the co-translational targeting of proteins to membranes. NCBI's taxonomy places the organism in Eukaryota, Metazoa, Chordata, Mammalia, Primates, Hominidae. The record is from Ensembl.
GCCAGGCAUGGUGGCACAAGUCUGUAAUCCCAGCUACUCGGGAGGCUGAGGUGGGAGGAUCACUUGAGCCCAGAAGGUCAAGGCUGCAGUGAGCCGUGCUUGCACCACUGCACUCCAGUCUGGGCAACAGAGUGAGAUCCUGUCUCAA